This 49-nucleotide non-coding RNA is filed under the name Trichobilharzia regenti. The record is from RNAcentral. Lineage: Eukaryota; Metazoa; Platyhelminthes; Trematoda; Strigeidida; Schistosomatidae.
GUACUGCUGAAGAGUCCCAAGCUGGGCUGACGAAACGGACGUUCAGUAC